UUCCCCUAGUAACGGCGAGUGAAGAGGGAAAAGCCCAAAAUUGUAAUCUGGCUCUUUCAGAGCCCGAGUUGUAAUUUUAAGAACUGUUUUCAGUGCUGGACCAUUUAUAAGUCUGCUGGAAGGCAGCAUCAUUGAGGGUGAUAAUCCCGUUCAUGAUAUGGACUACCAGUGCAAUAUGAUACAGUUUCCAAGAGUCGAGUUGUUUGGGAAUGCAGCUCAAAGUGGGUGGUAAAUUCCAUCUAAGGCUAAAUACUGGUGAGAGACCGAUAGCAUACAAGUACCGUGAGGGAAAGAUGAAAAGAACUUUGAAAAGAGAGUUAACAGUACGUGAAAUUGCUAAAAGGGAAACACUUGAAGUUAGCCAUGCAAUGAUUUGGUUCAGCUCUUUUUCUAGGGUGUAUGCCAUUUUUUUUGCGGAUCAACAUCAAUUCUUGAGUGCUGGAUAAGGGUUAGAGGAAUGUAGCAGUCUCUGGCUGUGUUAUAGACUCUGACUUGGAUACAGUGCUUAGAAUUGAGGAAUGCAGUAAGCCUUUUACUGGGUGGGUCCUCUUGCAGGACCUUCUUACUGAGGAUGUUGAUGUAAUAGCUUCAAAUGACCCGUCUUGAAACACGGACCAAGGAGUCUAACAUGCUUGCGAGUAUUUGGGUGUUGAAACCCUUAUGCGUAAUGAAAGUAAAUGUAAAUGGGAUCCUGUCAAAAGGUGCACCAUUGACCAGUCCUGAUUAUUUAUAUGACGGUACUGAGUAAGAGCAAGUAUGUUGGGACCCGAAAGAUGGUGAACUAUGCCUGAAUAGGGUGAAGCCAGAGGAAACUCUGGUGGAAGCUCGUAGCGGUUCUGACGUGCAAAUCGAUCGUCAAAUUUGGGUAUAGGGGCGAAAGACUAAUCGAACCAUCUAGUAGCUGGUUCCUGCCG
Molecule: ribosomal RNA, 914 nt
Filed under: Newinia heterophragmatis
Lineage: Eukaryota; Fungi; Basidiomycota; Pucciniomycetes; Pucciniales; Raveneliaceae
Description: partial large subunit ribosomal RNA
Rfam family: Eukaryotic large subunit ribosomal RNA
Source: RNAcentral